This is an RNA transcript of Fragaria vesca subsp. vesca, 775 nucleotides long. It is a transcript of the gene named acid phosphatase 1-like, with no coding region annotated. The record is from RefSeq and is a predicted model, not a curated record. The transcript has 3 exons. NCBI's taxonomy places the organism in Eukaryota, Viridiplantae, Streptophyta, Magnoliopsida, Rosales, Rosaceae.
AUGGGAAAGCUCAUAGAGUUCCUGCUUUUGAUCUCAAGCCUCUUCACUGUGGUUGCAGCAGAUUGGAGCAUUUUGAACCAGAAGAAGAAGAGUAACAAUGGGGCAGUGGGAGAUGGCUUGAAGAAGUACUGUGAGAGUUGGAGGAUCAAUGUGGAGGUCAACAACAUUAGAGGGUUUGAUGUGGUGCCUCAAGAAUGUGUUGAGCACAUAAGGAAUUACAUGACAUCUUCUCAGUACAACGCUGACUCAGAGAGGGCCUUGGAGGAAGUCACUCUCUACCUGAGCAGCAGUUACUGCUGCACUUUGGAGGGUGAUGGUAAAGAUGCUUGGAUUUUUGAUGUUGAUGAUACACAUCUCCACUAUUCCUUAUUUCAAGAAACAUGGUUUUGGGGGAGAGAAGCUGAAUGCAACAUCUUUGGAAACGUGGAUGAAAGAGAGCAAGGCACCAGCUCUAGAGCACACUUUAAAGCUCUUCCAUGAUAUUAAAGACCAAGGAUUUAAGAUCUUUCUCAUCUCUACAAGGAGGGAGACCCUUAGAUCUUCAAGCGUAGAUAACCUCAUUAAGGUUGGAUACCAUGGAUGGACUAGUCUUGUACUAAGGGGUCUCGAAGAUGAAUUUAUGGAAGUGCAGAUGUACAAGUCUAAGGCAAGGCAUCGACUGAUCGAUGAAGGUUACCGCAUUCGGGGAAUCAUCGGAGACCAGUGGAGCAGUUUCGAGGGCCUUCCUGCUGCUAAAAGAACAUUCAAACUACCCAAUUCCAUGUACUAUAUCUAG